RNAcentral lists this ribosomal RNA (254 nucleotides) under uncultured bacterium. RNAcentral's name for it is "partial 16S ribosomal RNA". It matches the Rfam family "Bacterial small subunit ribosomal RNA", at positions 524 to 776 of the family's 1533-position model. The record is from RNAcentral.
GACGAACCGUGCAAACGUUAUUCGGAAUCACUGGGCUUAAAGCGCGUGUAGGCGGGCCGCCACGUCGGCUGCUGAAAUCCCCCGGCUCAACCGGGGAAGUGGCACCGAUACGAGCGGCCUCGAGGGGGGUAGGGGGGUCUGGAACUUCCGGUGGAGCGGUGAAAUGCGUUGAGAUCGGAAGGAACGCCCGUGGCGAAAGCGAGGCCCUGGACCCUUACUGACGCUGAGACGCGAAAGCCAGGGGAGCGAACGGG